UGUCCAUUUCAUGUCUUGGCCAUAAAUCGUAACUAACGUCUCGGGAUGGCAAGGAUUCGGCGAGAUGGUUUAAUGCAUAUUUAUACCACCUAAAUGGCUAAUGAGCAAAACGUGCCACACAUGCACCAAAUUUUUGAGGCAUGAAUAUGCGAAAACACGAAGGAAAUACAUUAAUUAAAUUUUUGGUAAUGCCCGUCGUCGGCCAAGAGGAAACUGAAAAGGGCGCUGUAACUUUUACUAACGAACUGAAAGCGGUAAUCAUCAGGGGAAAACCGGGAAGAGCUGGAUAAAAACCAUGAGACCUAUAAAGAAAAUCAUGCCAGGCCAUGUGUGUCUGAAUUCUGAUUGAGAAUUACGCCAAAGAGAACGAAUGCGAGAAGAGGGAUUUUCCUUUGCAUUAUUUAUAAGAAACAAAACCGAAAUAAUGAUGCCUCAUAAAAAUGACGGGGCUCAAGCCCAUAUUACGGAUAUUACAAACAAAAGAUAAUACUAUAAUGAGCAAUAAGCCAAAGGCAAAUAAUAAAGGCCAUCUGCAGAAAAAGCUUCCAGGGCCCCAGACCACAGCACCGAAUUCAAUUAUGUGCGAUAAACAGAAGUCAUUAAAUAUUAAAGUGCUAAUGGAAAAGGAAUCGGUGCCGGUGCCCAUACAAAAGAUGACGCUUUCCCGGGAAAAUAAACCGCCUCAAAGGAGACGCAUUCGGGGAUAAGGAAAAGUGUAAUGGGCGAAAAACAAAGAGUGACGGCUAUAAAGGAUACUGAGUGCAGUACAACACAUGACCAACUGUCGCUCUCAGUAAACAACGCUGAUAAACACGGCGAAAAUGAGCAAAUACUUGAGGUAACAUUUUAUUAAAUUUAAAUUUAUAAAUGGUAUAAUAAUUGUGCACAUUGGUGCUUCGAUGGGCUUCACUUUAGUGCUCCCCUCAAUUUAAUACUCUAUUAUGCACGCAUAACGGGGGGAAACACCCACAUCGGUUUGGGGCUAAUUUUACGCUCCUCUAACUCCGCAUUAUGCGAUUAUUAUGUUCCGGUUGUGGGGUUGAGUGCUGUGCAAGGAACCAGCUGCCCCACGUGUAUUUUGAGCCGAAUAAUGGGGGCUCUUCCAAUAGAAACGGUGGUCGCUGUCAACAAUACACAUUGAUUAGACCCAUUAACAAAUGGGUGCGUAAUUCGCAACUCGAUACUAUCAGCAAUUUAAUCUGGGAUUUAAGCCGUGCACAUGCAAAUCAGUGAUUUCGAGGCCGCAGAAUAAACUGCUCAACAUGCUGAUUUAGCCAGGGAUGCAGAAAUACAUUAAAAAAUAUAAUAUUAUUUAACUAACCUGUUAAAUAAACUUUCAGCUCCAAUAAAUUUUACAAACUUUGCCCAAAGAAAAAAAGAUCUAAAGUACCUAAAUUGCCUUAUUGUGGAUUAAAGUGAGUAAGCGUCUUAAUAAAUCCUAAUUAAAAUCAUUUAUUCACUUAAAAAGCUGCCUAGCAACGAACUUGUAAACUAAAUAUUUUUAACAUCCCUGAUUCAAAUGUCGAAAAAUGGCGAUGCAGCACAACCGCGAAUCUCUAAACCGAAACCAGAUUUUAAAUGCAUGUAAUUGUUAUAGAGACGAGCGUUGGCCAAACAAAAUUUGCGUCACUAUUGCGGCUGCACCUGCGGCCGUCAACGGCAGGUGUUUCCUCGCCCUCGUAAGCUGCACUUUCCAGCAAAUAAAUUAUAAAUAAAAUACAUCGACGUCCCCAUCCACAUCCCAUCACCAUCCACAUGGCCACCAAGUGCUGUCAUGAUUUUGCCGAACGAAGCACACAAGCUCUCUGCCUGGGCGGGGUGACCAGAUUAAAUAUAUCCCUUUUUUCGGCAUCCCGUCCACGCUGCGGAUGCUUUAUUUAUGCCAUGAAUAAAUGCAAAUUUCCCAACGCCACAGCAGAUUUUGCAACAUAUGAGCAAAGAAAAGCGGAUGGCAGCGUUUGGGGGCAAACGGAAAAGAGACUCCGCAGCGUGUCCUUUGCAUAAUAAUAACUUGUAAAUGUCAUGUAGCGUAACCGUGUCCUCUAUCAAAAAAAAAAAAAAAAAGAAGAAACAAAAAAAACUAGGGGAGAAAAUGCCAGAGUGUAGUACUCCAUUUGGGAUCGUGUGCCGUAUGCGAAUUAGCAUUUAAUAUGGGACAUAGGGCCAUGAACAUUAACAUUGCUAAUACGCCCGAGUGUCUUCAAAAAGGGAAACUGGCCAGCCAAGGCGGCAAAAACGGACUGCAAGGCAGAAGGAAAGUGCAACAAGUUGAAAGAAAUAGAAUAAAUAGCAAUGAACCGAAGCAGAAAUGUAAACAUUUCACUUGCCCUCUGUUUGCUCACUUCAUGGAAUCAGGCGAUUAGUUUAACUUCUCAACCUUUUGCCAACCAUCGAACGCCACUAAUUGACCGGAAACGAGAAAAAUUGAUUUAUUUGCUUGGGCUUUGGGCCGUCUCGGUCUCAUUAUUGUGAUAAAAGCUGGGCACAUAAUCAAGGGCAAUUGGCUGUUUGAAAAGCGAUUUCCGUAAGCCAGGAAAUUUAUAAAUUUGUCGAGACCUUGAUCCGAAUUAAUGUGUUUAAGGGUCAAGUAAAGUGGGGUAUUUAAUAAAUUAAAUAACAUUAAGUAAAUUGAACUAGAUUUCUACUAGGUUGUUGAGACUAAACAUAUUUUUUUCUGGUUAUAAAAUGUUUACGAAUCACAAUGAACACAAAUUCGUUAGUUGGCUUAGCUUAUGAAUUUGUAUCAUUUGCUUAGCCAGCAAUCGCCCAACAACGAAACCCAAUCAACUUUCGUUUCCAAUUUCUGGUUGCCAUUAAAUGGGAAGGAAAUAAGGCAAACUUUAAUUAUUUAUGGGCCUGAAGGAGUCUCGUCCACUGAAUACGGCAUAAUACGGCAAAUUUGCUGGCCAGCAACAACUUACUCCCGCCAGAUUCAUUGGGCCAUUUUUCGCAUUGGCAAGCGCUUUUGGCCCAAAGACAGCGAGCCACUUGUGUGCGAUACGUUUGCCACAAAGACAGAAACGAAUCUCUGAAUGGAAGGGAGAAGACAGUCAUAUACGUAGAGCCAUUUGAAAACUAUUACGCCCAGGAGAUUCAUUCAAGUAGUGCGGCAUUUAUAACUCAAAUGUUGCCCAAGUAACAAAAAGCCUAAAAACUCGAGCACAACGGCAGGAGUUCAAGUGUGGAGAAGGAUUUGCAGCCAGCCAUUAGUGAUGAGAAACGAAUGAUUACUAAGAUUUUAUUUGGUUCACCAUAAGUAUACUAUAAGUAUAAGGGUAUAUAAAAAUAAUGUACAAACAUUAAAAAAGUACGAUACUUUGUGAUAGUUUAUAUCUGGCUGAAUCAGUGAUAGUUCAUUCUGGGAAAUAUUGAAGCACUAGAAAAAGUUUGGCCAUCUCUGUUGAAGGGAAUGGGAAUAACGAACUAUGGCAGGAAUAUGAAGAAACUGUGGAAACAUUCGAGGCAAUGGCGAAAACGGCAACACAGAACGGCAUUCUCUGUGCUUGCUUUUUAUUAGAAUGCGUCCAUGGAGACGUGGGCGCCAGCCAUUGUCUGGCAGCCUCCUCCAUGAAUCCCUAUCGCCUUCUGAACGAGUAUACUCGUAUAUAUUGUAUAAUAUAUAUUGUGCCUGUGCCUGUGCAGUUUGCUAUACGUUUCUUAGCACGUAGUUAUCUAUGGCAGCAACUGGAACAACAAUGCCACUUGAAACAACAAUAAAAAGUUUGUUGAAUAUAGAUACUCGUGUAUCGUGGACAACUCCCUAUGCCGCUAUGAAAAAAAGGAUGAAAAUAAAAUAUAAACAUUCUAAACCAAACUGGAAAAAAACAUCAAGGUAUAUGGCAAUCUAGUUCGUAAUGAAAAGUUUGCUAACUACGCUUAUAUUUUGUAAACAGUUCGUGGCACACAUUAAUAAACAUUUAUUUUUA
Molecule: long non-coding RNA, 3926 nt
Organism: Drosophila yakuba
Lineage: Eukaryota; Metazoa; Arthropoda; Insecta; Diptera; Drosophilidae
Exons: 2
Source: RefSeq, a predicted model, not a curated record